CUGCUUCCUAAGGAAAACCUUUGCCUCUUGCUGUGAAAAGAACCGAUGCCCUUAGAUCUCCCAGAAGCCCAGUCACAGAUGGACCUUGACAGGAAAGCCAAAUCCUGAAUUGUUUACUCUGAAUGUUGGCUGCCACCUCUGUGGUCAUAGGGCUGCUUCUUACUAAUGGGACAUCGUCCAGUGACUUGGAUGCUCAGGAUGCCCAUUUGGUUUCUGUGCCAUGCCAAAGUUGGGCUGCUUGGAAAUCAGGAAUCCUCAGAAAUGGGAAUGACAAGACAUUCCUUUAAAACUCCAUGAUUCCUUUCAGGCUAUUGAAAAAAAAAAAAAGCCAGCCUUCCAGCCAACAGAACAGCCAGGAGGUCAGCCUUACAAGGAAUAAACAUUAUAUCAUGGAGGGAAAUGAGUCACCAGGCAUCAUGCUGAGAACUGAGUCAGUUUCAGACUGACUCAUAUCUCUCUGGGCCAAGGAACAAUUCUAGUCCUGGCCUGACGGAAAAUGACUCACAGGUUACCCCCAGCAAGGU
This is a long non-coding RNA of Vombatus ursinus (common wombat), 524 nucleotides long. RefSeq lists it as uncharacterized. The record is from RefSeq and is a predicted model, not a curated record. NCBI's taxonomy places the organism in Eukaryota, Metazoa, Chordata, Mammalia, Diprotodontia, Vombatidae. The transcript is spliced from 3 exons.